Molecule: ribosomal RNA, 253 nt
Filed under: uncultured bacterium
Lineage: Bacteria
Description: partial 16S ribosomal RNA
Rfam family: Bacterial small subunit ribosomal RNA
Source: RNAcentral
UACGUAGGGGGCUAGCGUUGUCCGGAUUUAUUGGGCGUAAAGAGCGUGUAGGCGGCCAGGUAGGUCUGGUGUGAAAACUCGAGGCUUAACCUCGAGAUGUCAUCGGAAACCAUCUGGCUAGAGUCCGGAAGAGGAGAGUGGAAUUCCUGGUGUAGCGGUGAAAUGCGCAGAUAUCAGGAAGAACACCAAUGGCGAAAGCAGCUCUCUGGGACGGUACUGACGCUGAGACGCGAAAGCGUGAGGAGCGAACAGG